UNUCAUUGCUUAAGAUGUUCUUCAAAAGGU
RNAcentral lists this non-coding RNA (30 nucleotides) under Mus musculus (house mouse). The record is from RNAcentral. Lineage: Eukaryota; Metazoa; Chordata; Mammalia; Rodentia; Muridae.